UGGGGAAUCUUGCACAAUGGGCGAAAGCCUGAUGCAGCGACGCCACGUGCGGGAUGAAGGCCUUCGGGUUGUAAACCGCUUUCAGCAGGGACGAGGCCGCAAGGUGACGGUACCUGCAGAAGAAGCCCCGGCUAACUACGUGCCAGCAGCCGCGGUAAUACGUAGGGGGCAAGCGUUAUCCGGAUUCAUUGGGCGUAAAGAGCUUGUAGGCGGUUCGUCGCGUCUGGUGUGAAAGCCCAUCGCUUAACGGUGGGUUUGCGCCGGGUACGGGCGGGCUAGAGUGCAGUAGGGGAGACUGGAAUUCCCGGUGUAACGGUGGAAUGUGUAGAUAUCGGGAAGAACACCAAUGGCGAAGGCAGGUCUCUGGGCUGUUACUGACGCUGAGAAGCGAAAGCGUGGGGAGCGAACAGG
This 411-nucleotide ribosomal RNA is filed under the name Verrucomicrobiota bacterium. Its description in RNAcentral is "Verrucomicrobia bacterium partial 16S ribosomal RNA". It matches the Rfam family "Bacterial small subunit ribosomal RNA", at positions 355 to 776 of the family's 1533-position model. The record is from RNAcentral. Lineage: Bacteria; Pseudomonadati; Verrucomicrobiota.